RNAcentral lists this ribosomal RNA (497 nucleotides) under uncultured bacterium. RNAcentral's name for it is "partial 16S ribosomal RNA". It matches the Rfam family "Bacterial small subunit ribosomal RNA", at positions 28 to 507 of the family's 1533-position model. The record is from RNAcentral.
GAUGAACGCUGGCGGCGUGCCUAAUACAUGCAAGUCGAGCGAACGGACGAGAAGCUUGCUUCUCUGAUGUUAGCGGCGGACGGGUGAGUAACACGUGGAUAACCUACCUAUAAGACUGGGAUAACUUCGGGAAACCGGAGCUAAUACCGGAUAAUAUUUUAAACCGCAUGGUUCAAAAGUGAAAGACGGUCUUGCUGUCACUUAUAGAUGGAUCCGCGCUGCAUUAGCUAGUUGGUAAGGUAACGGCUUACCAAGGCAACGAUGCAUAGCCGACCUGAGAGGGUGAACGACCACACUGGAACUGAGACACGGUCCAGACUCCGGCGGUAGGCAGCAGUAGGGAAUCUUCCGCAAUGGGCGAAAGCCUGACGGAGCAACGCCGCGUGAGUGAUGAAGGUCUUCGGAUCGUAGAACUCUGUUAUUAGGGAAGAACAUAUGUGUAAGUAACUGUGCACAUCUUGACGGUACCUAAUCAGAAAGCCACGGCUAACUACGUG